AGCGUAGACGGAAUGGCAAGUCUGAUGUGAAAGGCCGGGGCUCAACCCCGGGACUGCAUUGGAAACUGUCAAUCUAGAGUACCGGAGGGGUAAGCGGAAUUCCUAGUGUAGCGGUGAAAUGCGUAGAUAUUAGGAGGAACACCAGUGGCGAAGGCGGCUUACUGGACGGUAACUGACGUUGAGGCUCGAAAGUGUGGGUAGCAAACA
This 207-nucleotide ribosomal RNA is filed under the name uncultured bacterium. Its description in RNAcentral is "partial 16S ribosomal RNA". It matches the Rfam family "Bacterial small subunit ribosomal RNA", at positions 568 to 774 of the family's 1533-position model. The record is from RNAcentral.